RNAcentral lists this ribosomal RNA (491 nucleotides) under uncultured bacterium. RNAcentral's name for it is "partial 16S ribosomal RNA". It matches the Rfam family "Bacterial small subunit ribosomal RNA", at positions 28 to 507 of the family's 1533-position model. The record is from RNAcentral.
GAUGAACGCUGGCUACAGGCUUAACACAUGCAAGUCGAGGGGAAACGACGGGGAAGCUUGCUUCCCCGGGCGUCGACCGGCGCACGGGUGAGUAACGCGUAUCCAACCUGCCUCUGACUGAGGGAUAACCCGUCGAAAGUCGGCCUAAUACCUCAUGGCAUCGUCUGCGGGCAUCCAACGACGAUUAAAGAUUUCAUCGGUCAGAGAUGGGGAUGCGUCUGAUUAGCUUGUUGGCGGGGUAACGGCCCACCAAGGCGACGAUCAGUAGGGGUUCUGAGAGGAAGGUCCCCCACAUUGGAACUGAGACACGGUCCAAACUCCUACGGGAGGCAGCAGUGAGGAAUAUUGGUCAAUGGGCGAGAGCCUGAACCAGCCAAGUAGCGUGCAGGAUGACGGCCCUAUGGGUUGUAAACUGCUUUUAUGCGGGGAUAAAGUGAGUGACGUGUCCUUCAUUGCAGGUACCGCAUGAAUAAGGACCGGCUAAUUCCGUG